This 482-nucleotide ribosomal RNA is filed under the name uncultured bacterium. Its description in RNAcentral is "bacterial SSU rRNA". It matches the Rfam family "Bacterial small subunit ribosomal RNA", at positions 29 to 486 of the family's 1533-position model. The record is from RNAcentral.
AACUAACGCUGGCGGCGUGCCUAACACAUGCAAGUCGUACGAGAAAGCCGGCUUCGGCUGGUGAGUAAAGUGGCGCACGGGUGAGUAACGCGUGGAUAAUCUGCCCUUAAGUGUGGAAUAACGUACCGAAAGGUGCGCUAAUACCGCAUAAUGCCUGGCAACACAAGUUGUCCGGCCAAAGAAGGCCUCUGUUUACAAGCUUUCGCUUCAGGAUGAGUCCGCGUACCAUUAGCUUGUUGGUGGGGUAAUGGCCUACCAAGGCUGCGAUGGUUAGCUGGUCUGAGAGGAUGAUCAGCCACACUGGAACUGAGACACGGUCCAGACUCCUACGGGAGGCAGCAGUGAGGAAUAUUGCGCAAUGGGGGCAACCCUGACGCAGCAACGCCGCGUGAGUGAGGAAGGUUUUCGGACUGUAAAGCUCUGUCGAGCGGGAAGAAGUGUACCAUGGCUAAUAUCCAUGAUAUUUGACGGUACCGCUAGAG